UGCCAGCAGCCGCGGUAAUACGGAGGUUCCAAGCGUUGUUCGGAAUUACUGGGCGUAAAGGGAGCGCAGGCGGAUAGGUCAGUUUAAAGUGGAAUCCCAGGGCUCAACCCUGGACGUGCUUUGGAUACUGCCUAUCUUGAGUUCGUGAGAGGAAAGUGGAAUUCAGGGUGUAGCGGUGAAAUGCUUAGAUAUCCUGAGGAACACCAGUGGCGAAAGCGACUUUCUGGCACGAAACUGACGCUGAGGCUCGAAAGCGUGGGUAGCGAACGGGAUUAGAUA
Molecule: ribosomal RNA, 279 nt
Filed under: uncultured bacterium
Lineage: Bacteria
Description: partial 16S ribosomal RNA
Rfam family: Bacterial small subunit ribosomal RNA
Source: RNAcentral